GAACGGUAGCACAGAGGAGCUUGCUCCUUGGGUGACGAGUGGCGGACGGGUGAGUAAUGUCUGGGAAACUGCCCGAUGGAGGGGGAUAACUACUGGAAACGGUAGCUAAUACCGCAUAACGUCUUCGGACCAAAGUGGGGGACCUUCGGGCCUCACACCAUCGGAUGUGCCCAGAUGGGAUUAGCUAGUAGGUGGGGUAAUGGCUCACCUAGGCGACGAUCCCUAGCUGGUCUGAGAGGAUGACCAGCCACACUGGAACUGAGACACGGUCCAGACUCCUACGGGAGGCAGCAGUGGGGAAUAUUGCACAAUGGGCGCAAGCCUGAUGCAGCCAUGCCGCGUGUAUGAAGAAGGCCUUCGGGUUGUAAAGUACUUUCAGCGAGGAGGAAGGCGGUAAGGUUAAUAACCUUGCCGAUUGACGUUACUCGCAGAAGAAGCACCGGCUAACUCCGUG
RNAcentral lists this ribosomal RNA (454 nucleotides) under uncultured bacterium. Its description in RNAcentral is "bacterial SSU rRNA". It matches the Rfam family "Bacterial small subunit ribosomal RNA", at positions 64 to 507 of the family's 1533-position model. The record is from RNAcentral.